ACAAGAGCACCGCGUAACGGGUUCCACGCUCGGCUGCGAAAGCUUGUCAGAUUAAAAAAAAAUUUUUUUUAGAGGUCACAGUGACCUUGACCUUUAACCUAGUGACCCAACGGUAAUGCCAAGAGCAACUAAGCUGUGUCUAAAUAGAGUGGUGAAGUCAUUCGUUGAUAUUACGCGCGGGAGGUCCAUAUUGAAUUAUAACUACUACAUGUAGUCCAUAUACUCUUGAAAGCCUCUUUCAAAUUUAACUCACCUUGACAGGUCAUAUAAAUACUGAAAGACAAACUAAAG
Molecule: long non-coding RNA, 291 nt
Organism: Dreissena polymorpha
Lineage: Eukaryota; Metazoa; Mollusca; Bivalvia; Myida; Dreissenidae
Exons: 2
Source: RefSeq, a predicted model, not a curated record